UACGGAGGGUGCGAGCGUUGUCCGGAAUCACUGGGCGUAAAGCGUGCGCAGGCGGCGCGUUAAGACAGGUGUGAAAGCCCCGAGCUUAACUUGGGAAUUGCGCUUGUGACUGGCGUGCUGGAGUGUGGCAGAGGGGAGGUGGAAUUCCACGUGUAGCAGUGAAAUGCGUAGAGAUGUGGAGGAACACCGAUGGCGAAGGCAGCCUCCUGGGCCAGCACUGACGCUCAUGCACGAAAGCGUGGGGAGCAAACAG
This 253-nucleotide ribosomal RNA is filed under the name uncultured bacterium. Its description in RNAcentral is "partial 16S ribosomal RNA". It matches the Rfam family "Bacterial small subunit ribosomal RNA", at positions 524 to 775 of the family's 1533-position model. The record is from RNAcentral.